ACGGAGGGUGCAAGCGUUAUCCGGAUUCACUGGGUUUAAAGGGUGCGUAGGUGGGCAAGUAAGUCAGUGGUGAAAUCUCCGGGCUUAACCCGGAAACUGCCAUUGAUACUAUUUGUCUUGAAUACUGUGGAGGUCAGCGGAAUAUGUCAUGUAGCGGUGAAAUGCUUAGAUAUGACAUAGAACACCAAUUGCGAAGGCAGCUGGCUACACAAAUAUUGACACUGAGGCACGAAAGCGUGGGGAUCAAACAGGA
Molecule: ribosomal RNA, 253 nt
Filed under: uncultured prokaryote
Description: partial 16S ribosomal RNA
Rfam family: Bacterial small subunit ribosomal RNA
Source: RNAcentral